Molecule: ribosomal RNA, 301 nt
Filed under: uncultured bacterium
Lineage: Bacteria
Description: partial 16S ribosomal RNA
Rfam family: Bacterial small subunit ribosomal RNA
Source: RNAcentral
CAGUAGCCGGGGAAUACGAAGGGUGCAAGCGUUACUCGGAAUUACUGGGCGUAAAGCGUGCGUAGGUGGUGGUUUAAGUCCGUUGUGAAAGCCCUGGGCUCAACCUGGGAAUUGCAGUGGAUACUGGGUCACUAGAGUGUGGUAGAGGAUAGUGGAAUUUCCGGUGUAGCAGUGAAAUGCGUAGAGAUCGGAAGGAACAUCUGUGGCGAAGGCGACUAUCUGGGCCAACACUGACACUGAGGCACGAAAGCGUGGGGAGCAAACAGGAUUAGAUACCCCUGUAGUCCCUGUCUCUUAUACC